RNAcentral lists this long non-coding RNA (1316 nucleotides) under Suricata suricatta (meerkat). Its description in RNAcentral is "lncRNA (ENSSSUG00005005178.1)". The record is from RNAcentral. Lineage: Eukaryota; Metazoa; Chordata; Mammalia; Carnivora; Herpestidae.
GAAUAAAAAAGAUGAGCCAUAAUGACAAAGACAUAACAGAAUUAGAACAAAUUCACAGACUUCUCUUACAGGUAAAGUGAGAUUUUAAAAAGCAAACACAAAAUUUCCAGAGUCAUGUUUUAUUUUAACAUUCGAUCUUAGUGAAGUCACUUCACAAAGAGACACCGCAAGGAAAGAGAAGUCUUUACCCUCUGCAUUCCAAGAGAGUUUGUCUUCCUGGUUUUGUUUUUUAAGUUCAGUUUUAUUAAUCUUGUUCUUGACAACACACAGAGCAUUCUUAUAAGAUCCCAUUUUAAGAGAGCAGAUCGAGUCACAGUAGGCAGGUAAGACCAGGAAGCUAUUUCUAAAUGAGAACAUCCUUCUUGUAUUUCGAACACUUGCCAGGUGCUCAACUUUUGGGAUUUGGCUUCAGUAGUUAAAAAAAAUAAUAAUUCCAAUUGUAAACGUGGGGGCAGAGGGAUGGCUGGUCUCAGCGGAGUGUUACAAAGCAAACGUGGGAAAAACCACCUCUGGAAAGCAGAUGCGAAAGUGAUUUCUAUAGGAGAUUCGAUUAGUCAUCUGGUGAAGCGUUUACCGAUGGUGUCACAGAAAACCGUGAGCCCGUAGUUUACAAAUCGUCUCUUGUAAAAUCUCCAGGGUUCGAAGAAAGUUCGUGGAAAAACACAUAGUGUGUAUUUAAUUUGUUCUGUUCCAAAAUCAGCAUAAAGAACUACUAGAGUUCACUCUCCUAUUUUGUUACAUCUCUUAUACCACGUGGCUUUCUAAAGACUUGUUGUUCUAGAAGUGCCCCCCUCGGCUAGAAAACUAGACUUUGCUCUUGAGAAUUACAGAACUGAGUGAGGAAUGGAUGUCUUCUUUGUCAGCCUCGGGGCCGGCAGCACGGAGCUUCACACCCGUCGCUUAGGACUUCAGAAGCGUUCGCCUUGACCGUCGGUGAUGACAAACAGACAGACUCUCAGGGCAAGCUGCUGCACCCCGUAACGCUGACACCCGACCCCCUUUUCCCUUCCGCGGGUUCACAAGAGCGCCUCCAGCGGCUGCAGGAGCCUAGGCGGCAGCGCCUGGCGGGGGCAGCGCCUGGCGGGGGCAGCGCGCAUGCGCAAGCGCACGGGAAGCCCGUACGCGAGCCACGUCGUGUCUGUGCGCAGGCGCGCCCUCCGUCCUCUGCGUCGUCAGAGCCGCGCGAGCGCUGCUGCUGCACCUCAGCCCUUGUGAUUUCCCGUUUGACGUUCGGGACCAACCUGGCCGCAGCCGCGCUGACUCCAUCUUGGGUUCCUACAAUGUCUGUCAAAGAAAAUAGCACCUUUGGAAGCUGA